This 605-nucleotide ribosomal RNA is filed under the name uncultured Streptococcaceae bacterium. Its description in RNAcentral is "bacterial SSU rRNA". It matches the Rfam family "Bacterial small subunit ribosomal RNA", at positions 140 to 732 of the family's 1533-position model. Lineage: Bacteria; Bacillati; Bacillota; Bacilli; Lactobacillales; Streptococcaceae. The record is from RNAcentral.
GGGAUAACUAUUGGAAACGAUAGCUAAUACCGACAUAAGAGAGACUAACGCAUGUUAGUAAUUUAAAAGGGGCAAUUGCUCCACUAUGAGAUGGACCUGCGUUGUAUUAGCUAGUUGGUGAGGUAAAGGCUCACCAAGGCGACGAUACAUAGCCGACCUGAGAGGGUGAUCGGCCACACUGGGACUGAGACACGGCCCAGACUCCUACGGGAGGCAGCAGUAUGGAAUCUUCGGCAAUGGGGGCAACCCUGACCGAGCAACGCCGCGUGAGUGAAGAAGGUUUUCGGAUCGUAAAGCUCUGUUGUUAGAGAAGAAUGAUGGUGGGAGUGGAAAAUCCACCAAGUGACGGUAACUAACCAGAAAGGGACGGUCAACUACGUGCCAGCAGCCGCGGUACUACGUAGGUCCCGAGCGUUGUCCGGAUUUAUUGGGCGUAAAGCGAGCGCAGGCGGUUUUUUAAGUCUGAAGUUAAAGGCAUUGGCUCAACCAAUGUGCGCUUUGGAAACUGGAGAACUUGAGUGCAGAAGGGGAGAGUGGAAUUCCAUGUGUAGCGGUGAAAUGCGUAGAUAUAUGGAGGAACACCGGUGGCGAAAGCGGCUCUCUGG